UAUGGUAGGUCUUUGUUCCAGUUUUGGAAGACAGAAAAUGGUGGUGUGCUGCGUUUUCUGUUAAUAGUGAGGAGGUGUGGGUCAUAGAUGCACACCGUCCAAAUUCAUUGGAGCACCAUGCAAAGGCCAUUGAGGAAUUGGCGAUUGGGGUUGAUAUUCUUUUCUCAAGCUUUGAAGGGCAAUGGUUACCUGGGCAAAUAAGGAAAUGGGAGAGGAAGGCGGUGAAUAUGGACGACGCUUAUAGUGAAUGUGAUGAAAGUGGGAUCCACAUGCUAUUGGCAAUAAAGGGGUGUGCAGCGCGUUACAAAUUUGAGUAUUUAUCGCCUGCUAAUAUAAAGGAGGAAAGGAAGUGGCUGCUUACAGAAGAUUUGCUUUGUGAAGGCAACGAGCUAAAAGAUAAGGUGAAGAAGAUGAUUGGUAGUAAAGUAUGGGGGUAGUACUAAAGUUAGGCCUUUAAAAGACAUUUUGGGUUCUAUAGGACGCAAAGGGUUUGGGGGGGUCAGGACGCAAAGGGUGGUGUGAAUAUUUUGGGUAAUAUAUGAGAUAUCGUGUGUUUUUGUAAGCUAUGCCAUAUCGUACGUGGGCAUACUUGUUAAGUGGCCAUAUGUGUUUAUUUCUAAUUUUGGUGUAAAAUGUACAAAUGUUUAAAUGUUUGUUUAUUGUUCGUGGGCUUCUUGGGCAA
Molecule: long non-coding RNA, 682 nt
Organism: Beta vulgaris subsp. vulgaris (sugar beet)
Lineage: Eukaryota; Viridiplantae; Streptophyta; Magnoliopsida; Caryophyllales; Amaranthaceae
Exons: 4
Source: RefSeq, a predicted model, not a curated record